RNAcentral lists this long non-coding RNA (704 nucleotides) under Rattus norvegicus (Norway rat). RNAcentral's name for it is "long non-coding RNA NONRATT005349". Lineage: Eukaryota; Metazoa; Chordata; Mammalia; Rodentia; Muridae. The record is from RNAcentral.
UUAUGCAUUCACAAGAGCACAGCCGGCUCCCCUGUGAUACAUCUAUUUAUUUAAUAACAUUAGAAGAUGGCAGAAUGUUGAAGCAAGAGAUACACAUUACUUAUUCCACAAUGAGGAAGUGACAUUGUAACACUGUUACUUUUUUAAUAGAACAUUUUUCUUAUUAGAACCUAUUGAGUUAGAGAGAUAAGCUUUGCCAAAUGCCAGUUCUGCCUUAAUUGGUCCCACUGGCUUUCAUCUCUGAUCACCUUUGGCUUCCUAUGGCGCUGUUUAAAUCCCCGGUCGACAAUGUGGGGGAGGGACUCUGAAGCUAACCACAGUCCUAGCUUCUCAGCCAUCUACGUGUGCCCUGGGAGACGGCUGUGGGAAGGUGGAGGACGCGCGCCAGUUUACGUGUUCAGUCUCAGGCUUUGCUCUGCCUGGCUGCCCACUGUGGUACAGGAAGAGGAACUGCCUGCCUGCAUGGACCCUUGGAACACCCCCACCCCCCACCCCCUCCGCACUCUCCUUCCGGUUCGGUCCGACACAGCUGUGUGACUUGGACUUGUGCUAGUUACCAUUUUCAUUUCUCUAGCCCUUGUUUUCUGGCCCACAGCGACCCCAAGGGUCCCUCCCACUCUGCUACCUGUGGAUCCUACGCAUCUUUGAAGCAGUGGGUGGCUGCCUGUCUGGGGAUGCCUUUGUCUCUAGGAAAGGCUGGCUCA